GUGAGAAGAAAUUCCUUUUUUCCUGCACUGAAUCUUCCACUUCUCUCCAAACCUGUGCUCUGCUCUGCUGCACUGUUCCUAGUGUGCCUUUCCGUAGGACUGGCUCCUGCCUGAGGCAAGCAGUCGUCUUUCAGCUGAAGCUUCAAGAAGAAAAAUUGCAUCAUCUUUGAAAGUGUGGGUGAAGUCAUGAGUAGCUGUGAAAGUGCCAUGCGCCUCACCUUCAGCCUUCCAGCUGCCUCUCCGCAGACAAGGAUAUACAGCUGUUCUGCCGUUUGCGGUGCUGUUCUGUCCUGCACAAUGGAGCUGCGUUGUCACGUCCUUAGAUCAGCCUGUUGCUGGAGGAGGAGUCUGGAGAAAUGUUCUGUGGGUGCUUCUCUGCAGCCGGCAGCCUGCGAUGGCUUGGGCUGUCCCUUCCAGACUGACGGUGCCCUGAGCUUCAGCRGAGAGCUGGCAGAAGGACCGGUGGCCAGAAGUUUAGGAUACAUCUGCAGUGCUAAGAGGAGGAGCGGCUGUGAUGUAUACCAGCGCCCUGAACUAACCAAAGUGAUGGGGRCCCUCAGUGUUCGGCGCGGCUGCCACCACGGACAGACGUGUCCCUUGGGUUCGCAAGCCAUGCCUUCGAGCGCCGUUCCCUCCUCGCGUCCUGGCAGCCCGGCCCUGCUCUGAGCUGCCGGUCGCCUUGUCGAGUUGCACAGUCGGUGCCAGUUUCCGCUACCCGAGGACCCCGUCUUUGGCCUUGCAGGGUGCCACCGGACCAGGCGUGAACUUGCUGUCCCUGUGCCACUGCUUGGAGACUCUUCUUGGCUCUUGCAGAGAAGCUCAUGCUGUUUCCGGGGGGUCUAGUUUUGUAUCUGGAAAAACUCAAAGUGUCCCAGGAACAGCUGGCAGAAGGUGAAUUGCUUCUGGUAGGCUUUGUAGUAAAAUACAACCGUGCUCAGUCUUUUCUCUGAUAAGAGUCUUCAGACCUGGACUUCCCUGGGUGUCACCGCUGGGUAGCUUUCUGCAAUUUGGGCUGUGCCAAGGAAGGCAGAAGAGAAAGGUUCCUCUGGGCAGUUUUAACAUGCAUGAUUUAUCAUCUCUUUGAAAUGAAAAGCCCAAUUAAUGGCUACAACGAAGGAAAAAUGUCAUAUAUUUCUAGCCCCUGAUCCUCUAGAGGUAAAAGCUUCUUAUC
Molecule: long non-coding RNA, 1171 nt
Organism: Dromaius novaehollandiae (emu)
Lineage: Eukaryota; Metazoa; Chordata; Aves; Casuariiformes; Dromaiidae
Source: Ensembl